UUACUGUCACAGAAAAGUUAAAUUUAAGAGUCGAAGAAAUGUAGUUUACUUACCAGAGAAGGCAUUACUAGGCUGGUUGCACUUAAGUGUUAGUACUAUAUUAUUAUGAUAAUUUAAAAAGAAGAAUAAAGUUAAAAAGAAAUAAGUUACAAAUCUUGAUAUACACGGUACUCAACUCAUAGGCAAAAUGUAAAAGAAGAAAUGACAUAAAUGGAAAAUAUACUAUCUAAUCUUUUUCACAUACUUCUUAAGUAACAAAAUGUACCCUUUUUCUGAGUGAAUACGGAACAACUCCUGAAGUUUUAGUUUAUGGACAAAGCGGGAGAGAAUAGGAGGGACUUUCGCAACCAAAUAGAAAACCAAGCUCAAAGCACAUGCCAAAUUAAUACUAAAACUCCGUUCUACAAAUCUUUUAUUUGUCCCGGCCAGUUGUCAAAAUCAGAAGGCAAACAUGGACUCAAAUUAAGCACAAGUGUGGAAAGCUGGACACCACACCUGACAUAUCCACCUGCAGUACUCGCUUUGAACGCAGUCCGCAGUGGCGAAUUGCAGUUUAGAAAAGAGUCGAACAAUUUGCAGAACGCUGUCAAUUUCAAAGUCAAUUUAAUGCAAAAUGCGAAAUGUUUGCCAUCUUUUUUGAUUAGCAAUAAACUAAUCUUUUGGACGUUGCUGCUGCCGCUGCAGUUGUCGUUCGCCAGACAAUCGGAGUGCGGGGGGAGCGGAUUCGGAUUCGGACUCGGACUCGGUGGAUUCUCUAUCACGAGUCUGUGCAUUUUUCAACAUGGAAUCUCAUCAAUGGCAGGCUACAACAAUGGCAACAACAAUGGCAACAACGACGACUGCCCAGUGUGUGGCCAGUGGUCAGUGUUCAGAGGUAUGUGGCCAGGACGAAUCCUUUCCACGGCAUCGCUUUCAGAUUUCAGAGGAAAAAUAUGUUUAUUUAGAAUAUCAAAAACCGAAAGUAAUCGAUUUAAUAAACUGUCACCAACAUGUGACCCAC
Molecule: long non-coding RNA, 1000 nt
Organism: Drosophila ficusphila
Lineage: Eukaryota; Metazoa; Arthropoda; Insecta; Diptera; Drosophilidae
Exons: 2
Source: RefSeq, a predicted model, not a curated record